This 468-nucleotide ribosomal RNA is filed under the name uncultured bacterium. Its description in RNAcentral is "partial 16S ribosomal RNA". It matches the Rfam family "Bacterial small subunit ribosomal RNA", at positions 28 to 507 of the family's 1533-position model. The record is from RNAcentral.
GACGAACGCUGGCGGCGUGCUUAACACAUGCAAGUCGAACGGAAAGGCCCUGCUUUUGUGGGGUGCUCGAGUGGCGAACGGGUGAGUAACAAGUGAGUAACCUGCCCUUGACUUUGGGAUAACUUCAGGAAACUGGGGCUAAUACCGGAUAGGAGCUCCUGCUGCAUGGUGGGGGUUGGAAAGUUUGGGCGGUUGGGGAUGGACUGGCGGCUUAUCAGCUUGUUGGGUGGGUAGUGGCUUACCAAGGCUUUGACGGGUAGCCGGCCUGCGAGGGUGACCGGCCACAUUGGGACUGAGAUACGGCCCAGACUCCUACGGGAGGCAGCAGUGGGGAAUAUUGCAGAAUGGGCGGAAGCCUGAUGCAGCAACGCCGCGUGCGGGAUGACGGCCUUCGGGGUGUAAACCGCUUUCGCCUGUGACGAAGCGUGAGUGACGGUAAUGGGUAAAGAAGCACCGGCUAACUACGUG